Molecule: transfer RNA, 74 nt
Filed under: Benthodytes marianensis
Lineage: Eukaryota; Metazoa; Echinodermata; Holothuroidea; Elasipodida; Psychropotidae
Description: tRNA-His
Source: RNAcentral
GAUUUAAUUAGUUUAUUUUAUUAAAACAUCAAUCUGUGGCAUUGAAAAAAGUAGCUUAAACCUACUAUUAAAUC